Molecule: ribosomal RNA, 470 nt
Filed under: uncultured Sphingobacteriales bacterium
Lineage: Bacteria; Pseudomonadati; Bacteroidota; Sphingobacteriia; Sphingobacteriales
Description: bacterial SSU rRNA
Rfam family: Bacterial small subunit ribosomal RNA
Source: RNAcentral
UUGACGGGGGCCCGCACAAGCGGAGGAACAUGUGGUUUAAUUCGAUGAUACGCGAGGAACCUUACCUGGGCUUAAAUGGGGAGUGACAGCUGUCGAAAGAUGGUUUUCUUCGGACACUCUUCAAGGUGCUGCAUGGUUGUCGUCAGCUCGUGCCGUGAGGUGUCGGGUUAAGUCCCAUAACGAGCGCAACCCUUACCGUUAGUUACCAUCAGGUUAAGCUGGGGACUCUAGCGGGACUGCCACCGUAAGGUGAGAGGAAGGUGGGGAUGACGUCAAAUCAGCACGGCCCUUAUGUCCAGGGCUACACACGUGUUACAAUGGCCGGUACAAAGGGCAGCUACUUCGCGAGAAGAUGCUAAUCUCGAAAGCCGGUCUCAGUUCGGAUCGAAGUCUGCAACCCGACUUCGUGAAGCUGGAUUCGCUAGUAAUCGCGCAUCAGCCAUGGCGCGGUGAAUACGUUCCCGGGCCUU